RNAcentral lists this ribosomal RNA (255 nucleotides) under Cylindrospermopsis raciborskii CS-506_D. Its description in RNAcentral is "partial 16S ribosomal RNA". It matches the Rfam family "Bacterial small subunit ribosomal RNA", at positions 6 to 287 of the family's 1533-position model. Lineage: Bacteria; Bacillati; Cyanobacteriota; Cyanophyceae; Nostocales; Aphanizomenonaceae. The record is from RNAcentral.
GGAGAGUUUGAUCCUGGCUCAGGAUGAACGCUGGCGGUAUGCUUAACACAUGCAAGUCGAACGGGGUGCUUAGGCAUCUAGUGGCGGACGGGUGAGUAACACGUGGGAAUCUGCCCUUUGCUUCGGAAUAACAGUUAGAAAUGACUGCUAAUACCGGAUGAUGUCGUAAGACCAAAGAUUUAUCGGCAAAGGAUGAGCCCGCGUAGGAUUAGCUAGUUGGUGGGGUAAAGGCUCACCAAGGCGACGAUCCUUAGC